This 253-nucleotide ribosomal RNA is filed under the name uncultured bacterium. RNAcentral describes it as "partial 16S ribosomal RNA". It matches the Rfam family "Bacterial small subunit ribosomal RNA", at positions 524 to 776 of the family's 1533-position model. The record is from RNAcentral.
UACGAAGGGGGCUAGCGUUGCCCGGAAUCACUGGGCGUAAAGCGCACGUAGGCGGAUUGCUAAGUCAGGGGUGAAAUCCUGGAGCUCAACUCCAGAACUGCCCUUGAUACUGAAGAUCUUGAGUUCGGGAGAGGUGAGUGGAACUGCGAGUGUAGAGGUGAAAUUCGUAGAUAUUCGCAAGAACACCAGUGGCGAAGGCGGCUCACUGGCCCGAUACUGACGCUGAGGCACGAAAGCGUGGGGAGCAAACAGG